CCUACGGGAGGCAGCAGUGAGGAAUAUUGGUCAAUGGACGCAAGUCUGAACCAGCCAUGCCGCGUGCAGGAAGACGGCUCUAUGCGUUGUAAACUGCUUUUGUCCUGGGGUAAACUCAGAUACGCGUAUCUGUCUGAAAGUAUCGUACGAAUCCGGCUCGGCUAACUCCGUGCCAGCAGCCGCGGUAAUACGGAGGAUUCAAGCGUUAUCCGGAUUUAUUGGGUUUAAAGGGGUCGUAGGCGGUCGGAUAAGUUAGAGGUGAAAUCCCGAGGCUCAACUUCGGAAUUGCCUCUGAUACUGUGCGGCUAGAGAGUAGUUGCGGUAGGCGGAAUGUAUGGUGUAGCGGUGAAAUGCUUAGAGAUCAUACAGAACACCGAUUGCGAAGGCAGCUUACCAAGCUACUUCUGACGUUGAGGCACGAAAGCGUGGGGAGCAAACAGGAUUAGAUACCCUGGUAGUC
Molecule: ribosomal RNA, 460 nt
Filed under: uncultured bacterium
Lineage: Bacteria
Description: partial 16S ribosomal RNA
Rfam family: Bacterial small subunit ribosomal RNA
Source: RNAcentral